GCGCCUGUAACUCUGUUGGCAGAGCGGUGGGAUGGUACCCCACGGUCCUGGGUUCAAAUCCCGGCGGUUGCU
Molecule: non-coding RNA, 72 nt
Organism: Phthorimaea operculella (potato tuberworm)
Lineage: Eukaryota; Metazoa; Arthropoda; Insecta; Lepidoptera; Gelechiidae
Source: the annotation of a GenBank genome assembly